RNAcentral lists this transfer RNA (68 nucleotides) under Faecalibacterium prausnitzii. It matches the Rfam family "tRNA". From Rfam's summary of the family: Transfer RNA (tRNA) molecules are approximately 80 nucleotides in length. Their secondary structure includes four short double-helical elements and three loops (D, anti-codon, and T loops). Further hydrogen bonds mediate the characteristic L-shaped molecular structure. tRNAs have two regions of fundamental functional importance: the anti-codon, which is responsible for specific mRNA codon recognition, and the 3' end, to which the tRNAs corresponding amino acid is attached (by aminoacyl-tRNA synthetases). tRNAs cope with the degeneracy of the genetic code in two manners: having more than one tRNA (with a specific anti-codon) for a particular amino acid; and 'wobble' base-pairing, i.e. permitting non-standard base-pairing at the 3rd anti-codon position. Lineage: Bacteria; Bacillati; Bacillota; Clostridia; Eubacteriales; Oscillospiraceae. The record is from RNAcentral.
AGUCAUAGCUCAGUUGGUAGAGCGCCUGCCCUCCAAGCAGGAUGCCGCGGGUUCGAGCCCCGUUGACU